Molecule: long non-coding RNA, 392 nt
Organism: Nomascus leucogenys (northern white-cheeked gibbon)
Lineage: Eukaryota; Metazoa; Chordata; Mammalia; Primates; Hylobatidae
Exons: 2
Source: RefSeq, a predicted model, not a curated record
AUGGAGUCUUACUCUGUUGCCCAGGCUGGAGUGCAGUGGCAUGAUUUCGGCUCAGUGCAACCUCUGCCACCUGGGUUCAAGCGAUUCUCCUGCCUCAGCCUCCUGAGUAGCUAGGAUUCCAGAUUAUACUUUUGGUGUCAUGACUAAGAACCAUUUGCUGACCCCUGGAUCCUGAAGAUUUUCUCUUAUGUUUUUUUCUAAGAUUUUAUAGUUUUAUUUUUUCAUUUAAGUUACAUCCAUUUGAAUUAAUUUUUAUCCAAAAAAUACUGUUUUUCUUUCAUUGUAGGCCUGUCUCUGUAUAAAUUCAAUUUGAAAAUAUGGCAAUAUGUAUCUUUGAUUUUCAAAUGAACAAGCUCAUAAAUACAAAAAUUGAAGGCAUAACAAGAAAAUAA